UAAAUAAUGCCUUCUUGGAGUUCCAACUACAAGGAACAUAUAAACUACUGAAGACAGAGAUGUCUGGUCAUCAGUCACGGUGGCUGCCCAUCACACUGAGCAGAGAUGUCUCAAUCUAUCAAUGUUGAAGCCUUGAUGAGUCGCCAGCAAUCUGCUUACUCUACUCAAUCAACGUUCGGAUUUUCGGAUGAACUAAUGAAGACCACAGAGAUGUCAGAUCUUCAUUCAUGAAUGGCUGUCCAUCGAACUGAGCAGAGAUGUCUUAAUCUAUCAAUGAUGAAGUCUUUGAGAGUCUCCAGCAGACUGCUUUGACAACUCAAUCAACUUCACGUUUAAAGAUCAAGUGAUCCAAACUGAGGUUGUCAGAUCAUCAGUCACAGUGCUGUCCAGAUUGUCAGAUCGUCAGUCAUAGUGGCAGUCCAUGUAGCACAGAGGAGAAGUGAUGCUGAAGCCUAGUGUCCAGCAAUCUGCGAUUUGACAACACAUUCAACUUCCUGUCUACGGUGAUCCAAACUGAGGUUGUCAGAUCAUCAGUCAUAGUGGCAGUCCGUGUUGCACAGAGCAGAAGCGAUGCUGAAGCCUAGUGUCCAGCAAUCUGCGAUAUGACAACUCAUCCAACUUUCUGUCUACAGAUCAAGAGAUCCAAAGUGAGGUUGUCAGAUCAUCAGUCAUAGUGCUGUCCAGAUUGUCAGAUCGUCAGUCAUAGUGGCAGUUCGUGUAGCACGGAGCAGAAGCAAUGCUGAAGCCUGGUGUCCAGCAAUCUGCAAUAUGACAACACAUUCAACUUCCUGUCAUCAGAUCAACUAAUCCAGACAUUUGAGAGUGUCAGAUCUUCAUUCAGAGUGGGAGUGCAUACCUCUGCCUUGAGCAAUCAAUCAACUUUACAGACGGAGAGUUUCGGAUAUUCACAAGGAGUUUGCAGCCCAUCAUACGACCAUCAACAUCGAUGC
Molecule: long non-coding RNA, 950 nt
Organism: Asterias rubens (European starfish)
Lineage: Eukaryota; Metazoa; Echinodermata; Asteroidea; Forcipulatida; Asteriidae
Exons: 8
Source: RefSeq, a predicted model, not a curated record